RNAcentral lists this ribosomal RNA (497 nucleotides) under uncultured bacterium. Its description in RNAcentral is "partial 16S ribosomal RNA". It matches the Rfam family "Bacterial small subunit ribosomal RNA", at positions 28 to 507 of the family's 1533-position model. The record is from RNAcentral.
GACGAACGCUGGCGGCGUGCCUAAUACAUGCAAGUUGAGCGCUGAAGGUUGGUACUUGUACCGACUGGAUGAGCAGCGAACGGGUGAGUAACGCGUGGGGAAUCUGCCUUUGAGCGGGGGACAACAUUUGGAAACGAAUGCUAAUACCGCAUAAAAACUUUAAACACAAGUUUUAAGUUUGAAAGAUGCAAUUGCAUCACUCAAAGAUGAUCCCGCGUUGUAUUAGCUAGUUGGUGAGGUAAAGGCUCACCAAGGCGAUGAUACAUAGCCGACCUGAGAGGGUGAUCGGCCACAUUGGGACUGAGACACGGCCCAAACUCCUACGGGAGGCAGCAGUAGGGAAUCUUCGGCAAUGGACGAAAGUCUGACCGAGCAACGCCGCGUGAGUGAAGAAGGUUUUCGGAUCGUAAAACUCUGUUGGUAGAGAAGAACGUUGGUGAGAGUGGAAAGCUCAUCGAGUGACGGUAACUACCCAGAAAGGGACGGCUAACUACGUG